RNAcentral lists this ribosomal RNA (1041 nucleotides) under Salmonella enterica. RNAcentral describes it as "bacterial SSU rRNA". It matches the Rfam family "Bacterial small subunit ribosomal RNA", at positions 1 to 1031 of the family's 1533-position model. The record is from RNAcentral. Lineage: Bacteria; Pseudomonadati; Pseudomonadota; Gammaproteobacteria; Enterobacterales; Enterobacteriaceae.
AAAUUGAAGAGUUUGAUCAUGGCUCAGAUUGAACGCUGGCGGCAGGCCUAACACAUGCAAGUCGAACGGUAACAGGAAGCAGCUUGCUGCUUUGCUGACGAGUGGCGGACGGGUGAGUAAUGUCUGGGAAACUGCCUGAUGGAGGGGGAUAACUACUGGAAACGGUGGCUAAUACCGCAUAACGUCGCAAGACCAAAGAGGGGGACCUUCGGGCCUCUUGCCAUCAGAUAUGCCCAGAUGGGAUUAGCUUGUUGGUGAGGUAACGGCUCACCAAGGCGACGAUCCCUAGCUGGUCUGAGAGGAUGACCAGCCACACUGGAACUGAGACACGGUCCAGACUCCUACGGGAGGCAGCAGUGGGGAAUAUUGCACAAUGGGCGCAAGCCUGAUGCAGCCAUGCCGCGUGUAUGAAGAAGGCCUUCGGGUUGUAAAGUACUUUCAGCGGGGAGGAAGGUGUUGCGGUUAAUAACCGCAGCAAUUGACGUUACCCGCAGAAGAAGCACCGGCUAACUCCGUGCCAGCAGCCGCGGUAAUACGGAGGGUGCAAGCGUUAAUCGGAAUUACUGGGCGUAAAGCGCACGCAGGCGGUCUGUCAAGUCGGAUGUGAAAUCCCCGGGCUCAACCUGGGAACUGCAUUCGAAACUGGCAGGCUUGAGUCUUGUAGAGGGGGGUAGAAUUCCAGGUGUAGCGGUGAAAUGCGUAGAGAUCUGGAGGAAUACCGGUGGCGAAGGCGGCCCCCUGGACAAAGACUGACGCUCAGGUGCGAAAGCGUGGGGAGCAAACAGGAUUAGAUACCCUGGUAGUCCACGCCGUAAACGAUGUCUACUUGGAGGUUGUGCCCUUGAGGCGUGGCUUCCGGAGCUAACGCGUUAAGUAGACCGCCUGGGGAGUACGGCCGCAAGGUUAAAACUCAAAUGAAUUGACGGGGGCCCGCACAAGCGGUGGAGCAUGUGGUUUAAUUCGAUGCAACGCGAAGAACCUUACCUGGUCUUGACAUCCACAGAACUUUCCAGAGAUGGAUUGGUGCCUUCGGGAACUGUG